RNAcentral lists this ribosomal RNA (480 nucleotides) under uncultured Haloferula sp. RNAcentral's name for it is "bacterial SSU rRNA". It matches the Rfam family "Bacterial small subunit ribosomal RNA", at positions 29 to 505 of the family's 1533-position model. Lineage: Bacteria; Pseudomonadati; Verrucomicrobiota; Verrucomicrobiia; Verrucomicrobiales; Verrucomicrobiaceae. The record is from RNAcentral.
AAUGAACGCUAGCGGCGUGUUUAAGACAUGCAAGUUGAACGGAGAAUACGGUAGUUUACUAUUUGUAUUCUUAGUGGCGGACGGGUGAGUAACACGUGAACUACCUACCAUAAAGUGAAGGACAGUCCUGGGAAACUGGGUUUAAUACUUCAUGUGCAUAUAUGUAAAGGAGCCUUCGGGUUUCGCUUUAUGAUGGGUUCGCGGUCUAUCAGCUAGUUGGUGAGGUAAUGGCUCACCAAGGCGACGACGGAUAGCUGGUCUUAGAGGAUGAUCAGUCACACUGGAACUGAGACACGGUCCAGACACCUACGGGUGGCAGCAGUCGAGAAUAAUUCACAAUGGACGAAAGUCUGAUGGUGCAACGCCGCGUGGAGGAUGAAGGUUUUCGGAUCGUAAACUCCUGUCAUUGUAGAGUAAGGCUUAGUAGUUAAUACCUGCUAAGCUUGAGAGUAUACAAAGAGGAAGGGACGGCUAACUUCG